GAAGGCAGGGCCCUGGGCCCAUAAGUCCCAGGGCUGGGACUGAAGGCAGUUAGGGCCCUAGCAGCUGCCAGGGGGAGUGGAGUUUGUGCAGAAAAUCUCUAAGGAGAUACCUGGGUGCCUGCACUACUGCUGAAACCUCUCCUACUCCUCCAUCAGGAAUGAUUUUGAAAACAGGGCAAAAGCAUUCAUUGGAAGAAACUGAUGGGAUGCCCAGGACUGGUGUUUAAAGUGGGAUUCUCCUCAGAAAAAAUGGGACAUAUGGUCACCUUAUAACAAAACACCUGUGAUGUAGCAGUUCUGCUCUAGCUCAUCUGAGACAGGCUCCAGCAUCCUGAAGGAAAGAGAAACGUACCGGCUGAGUCUGGCACCGAGGGACUUAGCAACUGCAAGCUGGCUGCAGAAAAAGAAUGUGGCUUUUCAAACAUCCUGCAAUCUAAAGCAAAACCAGCAGUUCUGACAUGCUGUGAGCAAUAAACAAUGAGCUUUGUCAGCAUGUUGAGAGGAAAUGAUCAUUCCCAGAGUCUCUAUUGCAGGUGCAGUAUGACCUAUGUUCAGCUCUCAGUUACACCAUUCCAAGUCUGAAAUAACUGCACCGAGUCAUUGGAGUUAAUAGAUUUAUGCCUGGUAUAAUUGGGACCUACACCUGGCCCCUUGGUCUCUUCAUCACCUCUUUGUCUUGAAGAUUGCAAUUUGCUUAUGGACUCCCACCACCGGAAUUCCUUCCAACAGGACACACCUCUACACCCUGCCUUAUCUGUAUUCUGAAGUGCACUGCAAGAUGCAGCCAUCUAUUAACUGGGAGUUCUGGUUUCCCUUAUCUUUUGGGCUUAAUCUAAAAUCCAAUGAAGCCAAUGGGAGUCUUUCCAUAGAUCUCAGCAAGCUUUGAAUCAACCCCCUUACUCAAAUGUAUAGAUAUUUUCCAAAUAUGUUCUUUAGUCACUGCAGAAACUCCUGGUAUACUUGUUCUGUUUAUUUGGGAAACAUGAAGUUUGCCCUGCCCAACCCAUGUAAUAUGUGCCCAGUUUCUACAGUGCUGAACACCUGAGAAUAAAUAUAAUUACCUAAUAAGCAAUCAGGAAAUCUUUCUCUAUGAGCUUCCUGCAUACUGAGCAACAUUUAGAUCUAUUUAUAUGUGCAUGUGAGCACAUACAAGACCCUGGAGCUCAAUAACUUUUUCCUGCUGUAGCCUAUGAAAUGUGUAGCUUUGAUUUCUCCCUUCAGUGAAAUGCAGCCAUCCAUCCUUGUGUUGUUUUAAGAAAAAAGGCAUUCAGUUCCAUUAUUCAAUGGUGAAAAAAAAUAUCAGAAUUCUGUUAAGGCUAGUGUUUCCCUCAGGCAUUUCUGGCAUGUUUCAGCUAUAAAUUCAUUUUACAUGUGGCCAGGAAAAGCAACAUCUUGUUGCAUCAUGUAAGAAAAUAGCAUAUUUCUUCCCUGUUGCUCCUGUCCAAUCUGUAUAAGCAGAUGGUUGAACAAAGACAAAAGACCUGUCAUUAAAUACAUGAAUGUGACCCACAAUGCAGUUUUAUGCCUGAGUCCCCACUUAAAAAGACAAGGUCAAAUCUUUUCUAAUUUAUUCCCUCUUUUUAACAGUCUCUGUUUAGUAUAUAUCUCUGUGUAACACGACAACAUUUUCCUUCUCCCCCCAAACCCAUUUUUGUCACUUUCACCUUUUCACAAUUUAUUUUUGGGUGGAGAUAAAAAAUUAAUAUUGCUGUUUCACUGAAUGACAUUGUUACCUCAAACUUCUCUAACAGCUUAGUCCACAGCAUUGAUUUGUCUGUUUUAUGACACAUCCUUGGAGAAAAGUACUACAUAGUAAAAAUAUUAAUGAGCCAAAGAUUCCAGGUUACACUAGAGAUUCUGCAAUGCUUUUGAGGAUUGCUGUAGAACAAUGUGCUAUGUGUUACAAGGACACUGAGUUAGUAAAGUCUCAUCUUCAGCACCAUAAGCACUGACUCUCUCAUUUCCUGCUUUUUCUCCUUUCUAUUUCUCUCAUGACCAAAAGAAGAUCCUUUGCCAUCUCAUUAUCAUUCCUACCACUGUAACGUGUCUGUUAAGGGCUGAUGGCAAUAACUUCAUAGAGGGAAUAAUUUGAGGUCUAUAACAAGAAGUUAUAUCGUUUCUAAAAAACUCAAGACCCCUGCUACAUAUUCAUGAACUCCAUCUCCUGGCACCUUAUCUUUUAACUAUUUAGACAUACAUAGGUAGAAAGCAAUCUCA
This is a long non-coding RNA of Alligator mississippiensis (American alligator), 2217 nucleotides long. RefSeq lists it as uncharacterized. The transcript has 4 exons. The record is from RefSeq and is a predicted model, not a curated record. NCBI's taxonomy places the organism in Eukaryota, Metazoa, Chordata, Crocodylia, Alligatoridae.